GAUGAACGCUGGCGGCGUGCCUAAUACAUGCAAGUCGAGCGAACAGACGAGGAGCUUGCUCCUCUGACGUUAGCGGCGGACGGGUGAGUAACGCGUGGAUAACCUACCUAUAAGACUGGGAUAACUUCGGGAAACCGGAGCUAAUACCGGAUAAUAUAUUGAACCGCAUGGUUCAAUAGUGAAAGACGGUUUUGCUGUCACUUAUAGAGGGAUCCGCGCCGCAUUAGCUAGUUGGUAAGGUAACGGCUUACCAAGGCAACGAUGCGUAGCCGACCUGAGAGGGUGAUCGGCCACACUGGAACUGAGACACGGUCCAGACUCCUACGGGAGGCAGCAGUAGGGAAUCUUCCGCAAUGGGCGAAAGCCUGACGGAGCAACGCCGCGUGAGUGAUGAAGGUCUUCGGAUCGUAAAACUCUGUUAUUAGGGAAGAACAAAUGUGUAAGUAACUAUGCACGUCUUGACGGUACCUAAUCAGAAAGCCACGGCUAACUACGUG
This 497-nucleotide ribosomal RNA is filed under the name uncultured bacterium. RNAcentral's name for it is "partial 16S ribosomal RNA". It matches the Rfam family "Bacterial small subunit ribosomal RNA", at positions 28 to 507 of the family's 1533-position model. The record is from RNAcentral.